This 233-nucleotide ribosomal RNA is filed under the name uncultured bacterium. RNAcentral describes it as "partial 16S ribosomal RNA". It matches the Rfam family "Bacterial small subunit ribosomal RNA", at positions 1259 to 1500 of the family's 1533-position model. The record is from RNAcentral.
GACCGGAUGCGGAUCUCGAAAGCCUGUCCCAGUUCGGACUGGAGUCUGCAACCCGACUCCACGAAGUUGGAUUCGCUAGUAAUCGCGCAUCAGCCAUGGCGCGGUGAAUACGUUCCCGGGCCUUGUACACACCGCCCGUCAAGCCAUGGGAACCGGGGGCGCCUGAAGUCCGGGACCGCGAGGACCGGCCUAGGGCGAAACUGGUAACUGGGGCUAAGUCGUAACAAGGUAUC